GCUGCGGUGAUGUUGCUGCUAUGACUUCAACCUAGAAACACUAGGUGAGGAUGAGGAAGGAGAUACAGGUGCGUCUCUGAGAUGGGCGAGGGAAGAAAUUUGAGUUACUGGGGCCAUCAGUAAUGAAGAAGGACAGAGGCAGUUGCUUCACUCGAGCUCUCCCUGGUGGACUUCACCGAACUGUGAGGCCGAGGGGGAAGAGGGAGGAAGGGGAGGAGCCGAGCUCGGAGCACACAGGCGGCAGAGCCGGGGCAAAGGAAAUGGUUGAAGUUGGUUGGACCCAUUCAAGCCCAAUACACUUCGUUCUUAGGCCCGGCCCAGAAGGAGGAUCUAUCAAGGGUUCGUCACGCCCAUGAACACCGAUUGAGAAACCUGGUAAGUAGCAGGGACGAUCUCCAUAAGGCAUCGAUCAAGCAUUCUCUAUCUUAGAAUGAGGUUUUAGUUGAAAGGAUUCUCGGGAUAACAGUUUACAAAUAGUUGGUCGGUACUCGGUCGUGAUCAUAUGCAGAGUUGCCCCAGAGUCAAGAAUAUGGAUAUUGCUUGGUGGUGGGCUGAGUUUGUAAUUUAACAUUGUUGACUGAUGGACUUUUUAUCAGGGGAUCAAAUUAGAUCUUCUUUUAAGUAAAGGGCCCUAAGGGACUUAAAUUAUCAAAGCAUCUCACGGUUCAGGGAGCAUACCAUUAUAUGAUAAAGAAAUUACAGAAAUUGAAGUUUGACUA
This is a non-coding RNA of Punica granatum (pomegranate), 719 nucleotides long. The record is from RefSeq and is a predicted model, not a curated record. Lineage: Eukaryota; Viridiplantae; Streptophyta; Magnoliopsida; Myrtales; Lythraceae.